RNAcentral lists this ribosomal RNA (330 nucleotides) under Mesodinium rubrum. RNAcentral's name for it is "partial Eukaryotic small subunit ribosomal RNA". It matches the Rfam family "Eukaryotic small subunit ribosomal RNA", at positions 14 to 317 of the family's 1831-position model. The record is from RNAcentral. Lineage: Eukaryota; Ciliophora; Litostomatea; Cyclotrichida; Mesodiniidae.
CUGCCAGUAGUCAUAUGCUUGUCUUAAGGAUUAAGCCAUGCAUGUCUCAGUACAAGCGAUCUUGUACCGUGAAACUGCGAAUGGCUCAUUACAACAGUUAUAGUUUAUUUGAUCGUGCGGAGCUACGUGGAUAACCGUAGGAAUUCUAGAGCUAAUACAUGCACCGUCGCCGAGGCUCUUUGGUUAGACUUUGGCGGGAUUUAUUAGAUCAAAAACCAAUCGCCAUUCAUCACCUGAUGGAAGGCGUGGCGGGAUGAAUCACAAUAACUAAACCGAAUCGCAUGGCCGUGACUUGGCCGGCGAUAAAUCAUUCAAAUUUCUGCCCUAUCA